Molecule: ribosomal RNA, 253 nt
Filed under: uncultured bacterium
Lineage: Bacteria
Description: partial 16S ribosomal RNA
Rfam family: Bacterial small subunit ribosomal RNA
Source: RNAcentral
UACGUAGGGGGCAAGCGUUGUCCGGAAUCAUUGGGCGUAAAGGGCGUGUAGGCGGCCUGGUAAGUCCGCUGUGAAAGUCCAGGGCUCAACCCUGGAAUGCCGGUGGAAACUGUCAGGCUCGAGUCCGGAAGAGGCGAGUGGAAUUCCUGGUGUAGCGGUGAAAUGCGCAGAUAUCAGGAGGAACACCGGUGGCGAAGGCGGGUCUCUGGGCCGAUACUGACGCUGAGGAGCGAAAGCGUGGGGAGCGAACAGG